CCUACGGGAGGCUGCAGUGGGGAAUAUUGGACAAUGGGCGAAAGCCUGAUCCAGCCAUGCCGCGUGUGUGAAGAAGGCCUUCGGGUUGUAAAGCACUUUCAGUGGGGAAGAAAGCCUUGGGGCUAAUACCCUCGAGGAAGGACAUCACCCACAGAAGAAGCACCGGCUAACUCCGUGCCAGCAGCCGCGGUAAUACGGAGGGUGCGAGCGUUAAUCGGAAUUACUGGGCGUAAAGCGCGCGUAGGCGGUCUGAUAAGCCGGUUGUGAAAGCCCCGGGCUCAACCUGGGAACGGCAUCCGGAACUGUCAGGCUAGAGUGCAGGAGAGGAAGGUAGAAUUCCCGGUGUAGCGGUGAAAUGCGUAGAGAUCGGGAGGAAUACCAGUGGCGAAGGCGGCUUUCUGGACUGACACUGACGCUGAGGUGCGAAAGCGUGGGUAGCAAACAGGAUUAGAUACCCCGGGUAGUC
This 466-nucleotide ribosomal RNA is filed under the name Vreelandella stevensii. RNAcentral describes it as "partial 16S ribosomal RNA". It matches the Rfam family "Bacterial small subunit ribosomal RNA", at positions 338 to 795 of the family's 1533-position model. Lineage: Bacteria; Pseudomonadati; Pseudomonadota; Gammaproteobacteria; Oceanospirillales; Halomonadaceae. The record is from RNAcentral.